RNAcentral lists this ribosomal RNA (497 nucleotides) under uncultured bacterium. RNAcentral describes it as "partial 16S ribosomal RNA". It matches the Rfam family "Bacterial small subunit ribosomal RNA", at positions 28 to 507 of the family's 1533-position model. The record is from RNAcentral.
GAUGAACGCUGGCGGCGUGCCUAAUACAUGCAAGUCGAGCGAACAGACGAGGAGCUUGCUCCUCUGACGUUAGCGGCGGACGGGUGAGUAGCACGUGGAUAACCUACCUAUAAGACUGGGAUAACUUCGGGAAACCGGAGCUAAUACCGGAUAAUAUAUUGAACCGCAUGGUUCAAUAGUGAAAGACGGUUUUGCUGUCACUUAUAGAUGGAUCCGCGCCGCAUUAGCUAGUUGGUAAGGUAACGGCUUACCAAGGCAACGAUGCGUAGCCGACCUGAGAGGGUGAUCGGCCACACUGGAACUGAGACACGGUCCAGACUCCUACGGGAGGCAGCAGUAGGGAAUCUUCCGCAAAGGGCGGAAGCCUGACGGAGCAACGCCGCGUGAGUGAUGAAGGUCUUCGGAUCGUAAAACUCUGUUAUUAGGGAAGAACAAAUGUGUAAGUAACUAUGCACGUCUUGACGGUACCUAAUCAGAAAGCCACGGCUAACUACGUG